GUCGGUGGUCUGGAUAGCAUUUGGAGCUUCGCUAGCAACCCGGCAUUUCAUCUCCGACAAAGUUAUCCCCGAGAGAAGUAAAGCAAGUGUGUUCUGCCAAUGGGGGUGGAGUUUCAUGUCUUACCCGGUACCUCCACCUGUGAUUCAUCACCUGUAAUCAGCAGGCCGGCAUUUAAGACCAGCUCAGCCUUCGAUUUAUCGCCAUUUUGUCUGCUAUCUCCGUGGAGUAUUCAACUCACCUGCAUUAAAGAGACUCACCUCGUCUCGUCAAUGCUAGUCAACUGCCACCACGCUACUGCUCCUUCACCUGCCUGCCCUCUUGCUCGGUGCUCAGCUUAGAUCUCUGGAACAGAAGGUUGGACUCCCAAACUCACUUGCCUCGUGGUUCAGUUGGAUUCACGCUCAGUCCCCCUCCCUGAUGUCAACUUACACUCUGACCUUUAUUCAUGCCCUGAGUCUCCUGCUUCAGUUCUUCAUGUCCUUACACAUUCCUGAAUUAAAUAAAGUUGCAUUUUGUUACUAAUCCAA
Astatotilapia calliptera (eastern happy) is the source of this 528-nucleotide long non-coding RNA. Lineage: Eukaryota; Metazoa; Chordata; Actinopteri; Cichliformes; Cichlidae. The record is from Ensembl.